CAGGAAUCUAAUGAGAUAAUGCAGUAAUAAAUUUACAUAAGACACCACAAACGAAAUACGAAUAAUUUUGUUUAACAAAGUAAUUAAUCACAUAUUUGUGAAGAGGAACGUGGUGCUUAAAAAUCAAUCAAACAGUUUUUAUUACAAUGCGUAGUAAAAUCAGUGCCAAGCUCUCUUCCCUACUUCAAAAAAACAAGCUAAGAUCAAUUUCAUGUCAAAGACAAUCACUUCGAAGCACAAGAGGGUAGGUAACUGUAUUCUGAAACUAUUGGCCGACGUCCAUCCUUAAUUCCUUUUUAGUUGUGCAGAGAGCACUGCUUAGAGACAUAAACACUGUCAGAAUCUAACUGAACAAUUUUGGUUGAUGAUGUGCUCCUAUGCAGUUCGUUGUUGUUGAAAGCAUAUCAAGCAACUAAGUAUAAAUCUUUCACACACCUUAAGAUGUUCUUGGAUGUGGUUGUCAUUCUUUCCCAACUGAACAAGUUUGUUAUAAAUCCGUGUUAUAUGUCCUGUGUUACCCACUUGGGGUGCUUGUUUCACAGUAGCAGGCAAAGUUGGCUACAUCAAUUGAAAAACAUCAUUAAAGCAAUAUCAAGCUAUUAAAUACAGUGAGGUUGCAGUGUUCCCAUUUAACACGUUCUGUUCUUGGAGAGAAUGGGGUGCAUAACUCGAAAAGAACGAGGAAAUUUCAAAACCUAAUAAUUUAAUAAGAAGUAAAUCAGUCACCAUCAGCACUACCUCUGAGUCGCCGGAACCUACAGGUAAGUACCCCUCUCUCUCUCUCUGCUCGGAACACUGUUCCAACAAAGUUUCCGCCAACAGUGGUCUCUCACGGCGGUCUUUCUUCGACACCUCCUACACCACCGA
Molecule: long non-coding RNA, 867 nt
Filed under: Nicotiana benthamiana
Lineage: Eukaryota; Viridiplantae; Streptophyta; Magnoliopsida; Solanales; Solanaceae
Description: long non-coding RNA (NBEN_LNC012667)
Source: RNAcentral